Vicugna pacos (alpaca) is the source of this 1144-nucleotide non-coding RNA. Lineage: Eukaryota; Metazoa; Chordata; Mammalia; Artiodactyla; Camelidae. The record is from RefSeq and is a predicted model, not a curated record.
CAGUGUGUUAUCUCAUAUGCACCUAUAACUGUGGAAUCAACACGCGUUACCAAGGUUCAGGCUUUUCAAGUCAACGAGUGGGUCCUUAUGGUGGGAAGAAAGAUUGGAUUCCUUUUAACAAAAUAUUUCUUUUAAGUAUUGAAUUUCUUUUUUCGAGUGGGUGGGAGGGGCAAGGAAUAAUUGAGUGGAAGUUCCUUAAGUGUUGAUUUUCCAUUCUGCAUAUGGCGAAAAGUUCAUUUAUUAGCCCCUACUGUGAUACGCAGAGGCAAAUGGCAGUUCUUUUGAAAAGAGUGUCAAAGAAUGGAAUUGGGAACAGUUCAAACCGUGAGUGACCCACAUCCGUUUCUCUCAAUUGCCCUAAAUCCAGGCAUCAAGUUGUGUCGUGGGCCUAGAUCAGCAGUUCUCCUGAAGUAUAAUGCCGAGGGAAGCUUCAGUCUCACCUGGGAACGUGUUCAAAAUUCAAAUGCCAGGGCUCUGCACCCGAUCCACUGAGUCCAAAAGUCUGGGCUGAGGCCUGGAAGUCUGUGUUUUGGCACAUCCUGCAGGUGAUUCUAAUGCAGGCUAAAGCAUGAGCACGCUGGCCUGGACUCUGAGGGAACAUUAUGACUUAAAGGAACUCAUCUUCAAGGCACAGAGACCUCAGUGCUGGGCUAUGGCCGUGCUUCUUUUCCAUGGUAGGAUCACUGGGGUGUUUAUUUAAGAACAGCAAUACCAGCUCUCUCCCUCAGGCCCAUAAAAUUGGAAUCCUGAGGGGUGGGGCCCAGGCAAAGCAUUUCACUAAAACUUCCUGGGUGAUUCUGACAGGAAAGCAGGGGCCAGGUAAGGGAGGGAUGCUAACGUGGCUGAAAUGCUGAUACCUGGGGAGAGGGGGCCACAGUCUGUCAAGCAGGAUCCAGGCAGGCCUUGCAAACUUGACAUUCCGGGCAACAGAGAUGUCCAGAGCUACGGGUGGCAUCACUGUGAUGGGUGGCGGCAGCGGGGGUGGGGGGUGUUUCAUUCUGAGCCGAUUGGUAGUAACCUGUCAGACCCUGCCUUGCAGGCCCCUCCCAGGUACAAGUGUGACAACUGCUAACUCCCCAUCCCUAAAUUGGCACAGGUCAAAACCAGCCAAGUUCCCAGAGGCCAGCUGGUCCUAGCAGGAAGC